RNAcentral lists this ribosomal RNA (1184 nucleotides) under uncultured organism. RNAcentral describes it as "bacterial SSU rRNA". It matches the Rfam family "Bacterial small subunit ribosomal RNA", at positions 281 to 1467 of the family's 1533-position model. The record is from RNAcentral.
GGGUAGCUGGUCUGAGAGGAUGGUCAGCCACACUGGAACUGAGACACGGUCCAGACACCUACGGGUGGCAGCAGUCGAGAAUCAUUCGCAAUGGGGGAAACCCUGACGAUGCGACGCCGCGUGGAGGAUGAGGGCCUUAGGGUUGUAAACUCCUGUCAAGAGGGAAUAAGCAAGUGAAGGUACCUCUAGAGGAAGGGGCGGCUAAUUCCGUGCCAGCAGCCGCGGUAACACGGAAGCCCCGAGCGUUGUUCGGAUUCAUUGGGCGUAAAGGGUGCGUAGGCGGCGCGGAAAGUCCGGCGUGAAAGGCAGGGGCUCAACCUCUGGACUGCGUUGGAUACUUCCGUGCUUGAGGACUGGAGGGGAGACUGGAAUUCACGGUGUAGCAGUGAAAUGCGUAGAUAUCGUGAGGAAGACCGGUGGCGAAGGCGAGUCUCUGGACAGAUCCUGACGCUGAGGCACGAAGGCUGGGGGAGCGAACAGGAUUAGAUACCCUGGUAGUCCCAGCAGUAAACGAUGUGAGCUUGAUGUGGGGGGAUUCGACCCCUUCCGUGUCGAAGCUAACGCGAUAAGCUCACCGCCUGAGGAGUACGGCCGCAAGGCUAAAACUCAAAGAAAUUGACGGGGACCCGCACAAGCGGUGGAGUAUGUGGCUUAAUUCGAUGCAACGCGAAGAACCUUACCUGGCCUUGACAUGCAUUGUGUCGUCGGUGAAAGCCGGCUAGUCCUGGAAACAGGACGCUUUGCACAGGUGCUGCAUGGCUGUCGUCAGCUCGUGUCGUGAGAUGUUGGGUUAAGUCCCGCAACGAGCGCAACCCUUGUGGUCAGUUACUAACCGGCUUAGCCGGAGGACUCUGGCCAGACUGCCCUGUCAAACGGGGAGGAAGGUGGGGACGACGUCAAGUCAGUAUGGCCCUUAUGGCCAGGGCUGCACACGUACUACAAUGCCCGGUACAAUGUGAACCGAAACCGCGAGGUGGAGGAAGUCGCUCUUGAAAACCGGGCCCAGUUCGGAUUGGAGUCUGCAACUCGACUCCAUGAAGUCGGAAUCGCUAGUAAUGGCGUAUCAGCAACGACGCCGUGAAUACGUUCCCGGGUCUUGUACACACCGCCCGUCACAUCAUGGAAGUCUCCUGUACCCGAAGCACGUGCGCCAACCUUUUAGGAGGCAGCGUUCGAAGGUAUGG